CAGCCGCCGCGGUAAUACGAAGGGGGCUAGCGUUGUUCGGAAUUACUGGGCGUAAAGCGCACGUAGGCGGACUUUUAAGUCAGGGGUGAAGUCCCGGGGCUCAACCUCGGAACUGCCUUUGAUACUGGAAGUCUUGAGUGUGGAAGAGGUAAGUGGAAUAGCGAGUGUAGAGGUGAAAUUCGUAGAUAUUCGCAGGAACACCAGUGGCGAAGGCGGCUUACUGGUCCACAACUGACGCUGAGGUGCGAAAGCGUGGGGAGCAAACAGGAUUAGAUACCCCCGUAGUCCCUGUCUCUUAUAC
RNAcentral lists this ribosomal RNA (301 nucleotides) under uncultured bacterium. RNAcentral's name for it is "partial 16S ribosomal RNA". It matches the Rfam family "Bacterial small subunit ribosomal RNA", at positions 509 to 807 of the family's 1533-position model. The record is from RNAcentral.